Non-coding RNA from Lolium perenne, 5630 nucleotides. The record is from RefSeq and is a predicted model, not a curated record. NCBI's taxonomy places the organism in Eukaryota, Viridiplantae, Streptophyta, Magnoliopsida, Poales, Poaceae.
UUAUGGCCCUGCCGCGCCCUCCUCUCUCUCCCGAGACGGCUGACAGCGUGGAGAAGGAUCUCGGACCUCUCCUUUCCUUCUCGAGGUGGCUGGUGGCACGGUUGAGGACCCGACGACGUGUACGUGGUCGCUGGCAGAGCGGACGGACUGGAGUGGGGGCGCCGUUGAAGCCUCCUCCUCUCACCGGCACGGGCGCCCUCCUCUCUCUCUCCGUGGCUGUCAUGGGAGCCCCUGCCCCAGUUCCUUCCUGUCAGCUCAGGACCGGAAGCGGGAAGGAGGUAGGUGCCGAUGGGAAUUUUCUGAUGAUUAGAUGAUCUGCUUUGUGAUUUUGGUGCCUAAGAACUGUUUGUUUUUAUGCCUACAAGAACUCAAUCAGUGUAUUUUCAGAUUUCUCAUUUGGUCUGUGUGGGCUAAAUCAAUUUAUUCAGCUUAGCAUGCGGUGCAUCUGGGACUUCUUGCUAGCCUUGAUAUAUUAUCGCUGUUGGGAGUGGUCUGGUGAUUUGAUUUUUUUUGCUGUGAGAUUCCGCAAUUACAUAUUGGAGCGCAUUAUAUAGUAUAGCAUGGACACAAUCGAAUGAUUCAUGGGUAUCAUCUUAAACAAUUAUUUUUCUUAUGACAACGGUUGGCAUUAUGCAUUGCAGAUUUAGGCCUCAAAGACUAAACUGGCUGUUCGAGGUAUCAUCUUAAACUAUGAUUUUUUUUUCUCACUGCACUAUUUAGGUGAUUUGCAACAAAUGGUUGGCAAUAUAUACAGUGGGUUUAUUCCUGUAGAUUUUUCUCACUGCACUAUUCAGCACGUACUCUAGAAAUGUAAUGGUUAAUUUUGAUGAUGAUUGAUGGUUGAUAUUUUUUGUUGCUUUAUCAGGAACUGAACAUUCAAAAUUAGCGUGCAUUUUGAACUAUGCCAUAUCCAGGUGAAUUAUUAGUGUUUUGAGUUUCUAUGCUGGUUUCCAUUUGAUAUGUAUGCUACAAACCAGUGGAGGUUUGGCUGGGCAUCACUCUAACACAUGUUUACUUAUACCGAAGGAACUACAAAUACUUUUAUCAACACUACCGAGUGAACCUGGCUACAUUGCUUCAACAAUGUUUGAUCAAAUGGAUGAAAAAUACUUGUUCUCUUUUGCCAUCUCAAGAUAAUUCUCCCUAUCUCUACAAUAAUAUUUUGUCACCUAUAUCAAGCGAUGCUUUAAUUGGUUUGAAAGUGAACUUCUUUUUUGUACGCCAAUUUCAAACCUCCCAAAGCGGUCCGCGAUGGGAUACCCAUUUGCUUUCCCCAAGUAUGCAACAUUCACCUUUAAUGACUUGGUCAUGUUAAAAGUGUUUUCGGCUGAUCACUUAAGAACUACCCUGUUAAGGCAGUUUGGAUCUAAUGGAAAUCUUGAGCAGCAUGGAUUUGCAAGGAAUCGGCUUUGGACAAUUGAGUUUGGAGAAGAUGAAAAAGCCCAAAGGAAUCGGCUUUGGACAAUUGAGUUUGGAACUACUCUGCUCUUUUCUUAUUUAACAAUAACAGUUUUGAGUUUGGCUUCAGAAUUGCUCUUGAUGCUUUGGGGGAUGUGAGUCUCACGUCUACAAUCAGAAAUACCAACACUGAUGGAAGACCUUUUUCUUAUACAUUUGCAUAUCACACAAACUUCUCUGUUUCUGACAUAAGGUAUGUUUCUUUGUGGCUUCUUUGCUCUCUGUGUUCUUAUUGGCAAUGGACUGCUUCAUUCAUUUACGUUGCUUGGAAAUUAAGAUUUUUUUUUUACCGUUGUGCAUUAUUUUAAUAGUCAUUGUACAUGUAUGAAAAUAUAUUCACUCUACUGGUCCUGGUGAGUUGUUAUAUCUGUAUGGAUGUGAAUCGGUCCAGUGCAAGCAUAUAUUUUUUGCGAGAACAACAAUAUGGAUAUCUUUUUAUUCUUCUCUGAAAUUUUCAUAUUUGUAAUUUCACAAGAUGAUAUUUUAUAGUAGAACUGAUGACCUGAUCAGAAUUUCACUCCAUUCGAGUUUGUUUUAAGAAAACUAUGUUACAGAUUCGUGAGAUAGCUUCCACUUAUAAGGUGGGAUUUUUCAACCAAUUAUGGGUUAUAUGAACAUGUCUUAAUUUUGACAAAGACUCAUUGUGAGUUGCAGUGAUAUGCUGGUAUUCUUUGGUGCAAUGUAGUCUUAGUUUUGACAAAGAAGCAUCUCACCGUAAAUCAUGAGAGAAUGUAGUCGGGAGUGUUUUGUUGAGUAUUCGAUACAACCUUCCAUCCACCUGCCGAGUACAUUCCACCUGAUUUAGCUGUUGAUGUAGCAAGAUAUUCAUUGUUGUGGUUACAUGAGCACCUCGCUUGAUGCAGAGUACAACUGCUUCCAACUGCACGAAGUAGAGCCCAUAAUUGAGCCACUUUCCCUCUGACAGUCACCGCUGGGCAGCCUUGACUCCCCGUGAGGCACUGAGCACACAUCACAGUCAAUGGUGGUGCAGCUAAACAUGGUGCCCAGUGCUCCCUCUACACUGCUAUCACCUGUAGGGAUGAAACCGCAUGCUAGGGGAUCGGGUUCCGGUUGUUGUGUUCUGUAAUUCUUAGUGUUGGAUCCUAAGGACAUGCUGAAUCAGGUGUCAGUUUUGUGUUUCCUGAUGCUUUAUUGGUACAAGGUCUUGGUUAUAUUGCUCCUUAGUUCCGGAAUUUGGUUGUGACAUUGCAUUCCUGCAGAUUUCUUGUGAUAGUUGUGCAUGUGGUUUGUCUGAUUGUGGUGGUCAUUGGGCUGUAGUUAUUCCUGCAGGUUAGUCAGGUUUUUUUUUCUUCCCUGGUACAUGGUUCACAUUAACAGGUUCAGGUAUAACAUUGAUCAACACAUACACUUUUUUUUUUUUGAGAAAAACACAUACACUUUCUACAUCAAGAAACCAUGUUAUUAUCAUCUCCUUUACCAGGUACACAUCUCUGUAUGCAGGUUAUUUAGACAUGGGAGUGAACUGUCAGAUAACACUAACCGAGAUAUGUUAUAUAUUAGUUAAUAUCCUAGUGUUCAAAUGUUUGGUAGUGUCUAUUUCACUUGCACCACUGUCAAACAUUUUCACCUCUUAUGAGCUACCAUGUUUGACCUUCGAUCUCUUGCAAUAUUCAUCUUUUUUUUUCGAUAAAGUUGCAAUAUUCAUCUUACUGCCACCAAGCUUUAUUUUAUAUAUUACAUGUAUUUUACUGUAUAGCUUGCUAGCUUCUUUUUAUUUUCUUUGUAUUAUGUCUUUUCCAGUCGCAGGCUGUUUGCAUGUGUCGUGUCUCUCCAACAUAUGAAUUGAACUACCGCAAAUAAAAACAGUGCCAUCUCAUGCUAAAUUAUGUGUGACAUUCCAAGUGGGGUAUAAAAUCUGAAUAUUGGGGGAUAUAAGCAAAAGAUUUAUGCAAAUCUAAGCAAGCGGCAGAUAUUAAUACAACUUCCAUAAGUAAUGUAGUACCGACAGGUUUACUGUUCUUAUGAUUGAUGGUCAUCCCAAACUAAAGAAAGGAUUAGAGGUACUUUAAUUACUACCCUCGAGGGCGGCAGCCACAAGCAUCCUUCACUCCGCCGGACGCUGGCACAUCUUUUUUCUCAGUCGGGGCUUCGAAUUUGGAAGAGGGUGCGGACAGUCAAGGGAGCUGCUGCUGUUACAGCAGCACAACAGCACCACAAGAGACAACAUGAGAAUGAGAAGGAAGUGCGGCGCAAGAUUUUAGGGCCCAUUGGUGAGGUGGUUCUUCAGUGGGGGUGAGUCGGUGGCUGUUUACCACAGGUGGCAAUUGUUGGUACUUGGGUUGAUCCUUUAGGUCCAUAUGAUGACGUGUGCAGCCUGCAGGUUGCAGCACCGAGACAUGGAGCACUUGCUACAUGGUGUCACAUACUGACGUCUAAUAUUUUGUCUGCAUGGUUUGCAGAUAGAGACUGAUAUAGAUGAUGACCAGAUCUUAAACUGAGCUGCACACACUCUUCUCUGUAUACCUUGAUUGUCCGCGAGCUGAGCUACGAUGAGCUUUGCUGAACUGCGGGUAUAGAGGAGGAAUGUAGGACCAAACCUGCAGCUAAAAGAAAGAAGCCAUCAUAAAGGGAAUAGACAAAUAAAAGCUACAGCCACAGUUUUAUUACUCCUUCCACAAGUAAUGAAUAUUCUCCUAGAUAUUACCAUGCCACAGUACUUUGUAAUAGCCAAUUAGCAUUGCCAUCGGUCUGUAUUAAAUAUGUACCCAUGCAUAUAAGCUGAUUUUCAGUGGAGUUUGAUGGUAGAUUUUUUUGCUGCCUAAAACUUCGUAUCUAGCUUAGUGAUAUGUUGGCUUAAUGUGACUAAAAAGGAAUAGUGUAGAAUAGGAUCAGUGAACGAUCAUGUGUCCUUUAUUAUUUACGAAUGACCACAACUAACAGGAAUGUAUUCAUAUGUGCUUUUUCACCUAGACCGAAUGAGAAUGGAAUCCUAGCUUCAGAAUAUUUUCAGGGGUAAUUUUGAUUUGCUAUCAGGACAUCCUGAAAUAUAUGUUUCCCUUGUAGCUUAUGGUGAUAGUUAUGCAUUUCAUCAAUUUAGAUAUUCUCAGAUGUUGAAUUUUAUAAGCAGUGCCGUCAUCAACCUUGUGGACUCCACUCACAUGCUUCUUUAUUACUUUGUACUUCUUAUGAGAAAAGUUUGCUGACAAGAGUUUACUUACUCCCAACUAUCCUGCAAGUUAGCUAUGUCAAAUGUUUUCUUAGGCCCUUCUUCCGUAGAGCUAUAUGUAUAUACAUUUACCAGUAUAUUAUACAAAAUAAGGUCUUUGCCUUGGAUGUAGAUUAUAUAGAGCGGACAAGCAGAGAACUCACUUAUAUCCCCAUGCUACUGCGGCACAGAGUGCCAUUUUAGUCAUUUUUUGUUAUAGGUGGUUGAGCAAAGAAAAAGAAAACUGAACCAUUUCCUCCUCCAUUAGCUCAUGUUCUUUGACCACCAACUUACUAGAAUAAUUGAAAUGAGUGACCUAGAUCAAUUAGGGGUAACUGUUGUGCUUUUCCUCAUCUCGAUGGGUUUCUGUUUGCUAAACUGUACCGGUAAUGCAAACAACCUUAAACAAAGGUGCGUCGAAAUAGGCAACGUAGGAAACUUGCGCGUGGUUGAAUCUGGGAAACAGAGAUAGAGAAACUGGAAGAAUUGUAUACGAAUUAUGUUCUCCGCCAUGGUAGAUCACCUGGUAGAGGUUACAUAAAGCGUCUUUGCUUCAGUUUUCCUUCUUAGAAUAACUAUUGUUUACUCAUGCCACUGUUACAGGGGAGAAACUAAGGAAGGCUCGAUACCAUAGAAUCUGGAGUAUAGUACACAUGUACUUCCUCAUAAACCAAUUGAUCAUGGGCGGACAAGUGAUUGUGGAAGGGCCAGUGCACGGAUGGGAUGAUUCGACCGACGACAACAACAUUGCAGAAGGUGAUACUCUGUUCUUGACUUGCACUGUAGAAUCUUCAAUGGAGGUGGCCAUCUUUGGAAGCAAUAUGGCUAUGAGAAAAUCUCGGGCCGCAUUGAGUGCAGUGGUAACUAGGGCUUGCUUUUUCUUAGCACGAUGUAAUCCAUGUUAAAACAUGUGAUAUAUCUAUCCGUGAACUUCUGAACAACAGUAACUCUAUACUGAUGUGUCCAACUAAUUUACAAAUCGUAUUCUAUGAUCAAUUUGCACUCA